RNAcentral lists this ribosomal RNA (301 nucleotides) under uncultured bacterium. RNAcentral describes it as "partial 16S ribosomal RNA". It matches the Rfam family "Bacterial small subunit ribosomal RNA", at positions 509 to 807 of the family's 1533-position model. The record is from RNAcentral.
CAGCCGCCACGGUAAUACGUAGGUGGCAAGCGUUGUCCGGAAUUAUUGGGCGUAAAGGGCUCGCAGGCGGUUUCUUAAGUCUGAUGUGAAAGCCCCCGGCUCAACCGGGGAGGGUCAUUGGAAACUGGGAAACUUGAGUGCAGAAGAGGAGAGUGGAAUUCCACGUGUAGCGGUGAAAUGCGUAGAGAUGUGGAGGAACACCAGUGGCGAAGGCGACUCUCUGGUCUGUAACUGACGCUGAGGAGCGAAAGCGUGGGGAGCGAACAGGAUUAGAGACCCCUGUAGUCCCUGUCUCUUAUAC